CGUCAUAAUAAUAAGCCCGAACGACAA
This 27-nucleotide small RNA is filed under the name Bombyx mori (domestic silkworm). RNAcentral's name for it is "ovarian small RNA-14551". Lineage: Eukaryota; Metazoa; Arthropoda; Insecta; Lepidoptera; Bombycidae. The record is from RNAcentral.